RNAcentral lists this ribosomal RNA (253 nucleotides) under uncultured bacterium. RNAcentral's name for it is "partial 16S ribosomal RNA". It matches the Rfam family "Bacterial small subunit ribosomal RNA", at positions 524 to 776 of the family's 1533-position model. The record is from RNAcentral.
UACGAGGGGGGCAAAUGUUGUUCGGAAUCACUGGGCGUAAAGGGAGCGUAGGCGGGCUUCUAAGUUAGGUGUUUAAUCCCGGGGCCCAACCCCGGUCAGGCACCUAAAACUGGGAGUCUUGAAUAGUGGAGAGGUCAGUGGAAUUGGAGGUGUAGCGGUGGAAUGCGUAGAGAUCUCCAAGAACACCAGUUGCGAAGGCGGCUGACUGGACACAUAUUGACGCUGAGGCUCGAAAGCAUGGGGAGCAAACAGG